ACGCGUAUGCAAUCUACCUUUCACAGAGGGAUAGCCCAGAGAAAUUUGGAUUAAUACCUCAUAGUAUAGCAGUUUCGCAUGAAACCACUAUUAAAGUCACAACGGUGAAAGAUGAGCAUGCGUCCCAUUAGCUAGUUGGUAAGGUAACGGCUUACCAAGGCAACGAUGGGUAGGGGUCCUGAGAGGGAGAUCCCCCACACUGGUACUGAGACACGGACCAGACUCCUACGGGAGGCAGCAGUGAGGAAUAUUGGACAAUGGGCGCUAGCCUGAUCCAGCCAUGCCGCGUGUAGGAUGACGGUCCUAUGGAUUGUAAACUGCUUUUGUACAGGAAGAAACAUCUCUACGUGUAGAGACUUGACGGUACUGUAAGAAUAAGGAUCGGCUAACUCCGUUCCAGCAGCCGCGGUAAUACGGAGGAUCCAAGUAUUAUCCGGAAUCUUUGGGUUUAUAGGGUCCGUAGGCCGUUUAGUAAGUCAGUG
This 482-nucleotide ribosomal RNA is filed under the name uncultured bacterium. RNAcentral describes it as "bacterial SSU rRNA". It matches the Rfam family "Bacterial small subunit ribosomal RNA", at positions 113 to 593 of the family's 1533-position model. The record is from RNAcentral.